Non-coding RNA from Phrynosoma platyrhinos (Desert horned lizard), 72 nucleotides. The record is from the annotation of a GenBank genome assembly. Lineage: Eukaryota; Metazoa; Chordata; Lepidosauria; Squamata; Phrynosomatidae.
GUCAGUGUGGUGCAGAGGUUUGAGCACUGGACUACAACUACAGAGACCAGGGUUCAAAUCCCAGCUCAGCCA